AUUUCUUUAUAUAUUUCUGUUCAAUUAAAAAAAAAUGUUCUUAUCAGUUUAAAAUCUAAUAUGUCCCCUACAUGGGGACCGUAUAUUAAAUUGAUUUCUGAAACUAGGAGAAGGAAUAGGGACUUCCUCCAUCCACUCCACGCAUCAACCUGGUAUUGCAAUACCUGCAGGAAUGGUACACUUUCU
Small nuclear RNA from Erpetoichthys calabaricus (reedfish), 186 nucleotides. Its record names the gene U2. It matches the Rfam family "U2 spliceosomal RNA". From Rfam's summary of the family: U2 is a small nuclear RNA (snRNA) component of the spliceosome (involved in pre-mRNA splicing). Complementary binding between U2 snRNA (in an area lying towards the 5' end but 3' to hairpin I) and the branchpoint sequence (BPS) of the intron results the bulging out of an unpaired adenosine, on the BPS, which initiates a nucleophilic attack at the intronic 5' splice site, thus starting the first of two transesterification reactions that mediate splicing. NCBI's taxonomy places the organism in Eukaryota, Metazoa, Chordata, Cladistia, Polypteriformes, Polypteridae. The record is from Ensembl.